UACGGAGGGUGCAAGCGUUAUCCGGAUUUAUUGGGCUUAAAGGGUGCGCAGGCGGUUUAUUAAGUCAGUGGUGAAAGACGGUCGCUCAACGAUUGAAGUGCCAUUGAUACUGGUAGACUUGAGUGAGAUAGAGGUAGCUGGAAUGGAUAGUGUAGCGGUGAAAUGCAUAGAUAUUAGCCAGAACACCAAUUGCGUAGGCAAGUUACUAAGUCUAAACUGACGCUGAGGCACGAAAGUGUGGGUAUCAAACAGG
RNAcentral lists this ribosomal RNA (253 nucleotides) under uncultured bacterium. Its description in RNAcentral is "partial 16S ribosomal RNA". It matches the Rfam family "Bacterial small subunit ribosomal RNA", at positions 524 to 776 of the family's 1533-position model. The record is from RNAcentral.